CCUACGGGAGGCAGCAGUGGGGAAUAUUGCACAAUGGGGGAAACCCUGAUGCAGCGACGCCGCGUGAGUGAAGAAGUAAUUCGUUAUGUAAAGCUCUAUCAGCCGGGAAGAAAAUGACGGUACCUGAGUAAGUAGCCCCGGCUAACUACGUGCCAGCAGCCGCGGGAAUACGGAGGGGGCAAGCGUGAUCCGGAUUUACUGGGUGUAAAGGGAGCGUAGACGGCAGUGCGAGUCUGGAGUGAAAGGCGGGGGCUCAACCCCCGGACUGCUCUGGAAACUGGACGGCUGGAGUGCAGGAGAGGUAAGUAGAAUUCCUAGUGUAGCGGUGAAAUGCGUAGAGAUUAGGAGGAACACCAGUGGCGAAGGCGGCUUACUGGACUGUAACUGACGUUGAGGCGCGAAAGCGUGGGGAGCAAACAGGAUUAGAUACCCGAGUAGUC
This 440-nucleotide ribosomal RNA is filed under the name uncultured bacterium. RNAcentral's name for it is "partial 16S ribosomal RNA". It matches the Rfam family "Bacterial small subunit ribosomal RNA", at positions 338 to 795 of the family's 1533-position model. The record is from RNAcentral.